This is a long non-coding RNA of Piliocolobus tephrosceles (Ugandan red Colobus), 2070 nucleotides long. NCBI's taxonomy places the organism in Eukaryota, Metazoa, Chordata, Mammalia, Primates, Cercopithecidae. The record is from Ensembl.
AUGUCUUCAUUUUUAAAAAAUAUAUUAUUCUUGUUAUGCAUUUAUAUAUACAUAAACAUAACUAAUAGUAAUAAAACUAUAAAUUUAGCUGACCCUAUGAGUACUAGUAUGUAUAGUCUUUAUCCUAAUAAUAAUGUUACUAAUCUAUUACCACAUCAGUACAAUGCAACAACUAAUAUUUUAGAAGGAAAAGUGUCACCGAUUAGAGAAUCGAAUAUACAUACAUGUGAAGCGGCUGGAUGUUCAACUUAUAAAAAUAUUAUUGAAAAUAAUUAUGAUGGAUGUUUAUAUGGUUUUAUAUGUAAAGAAUGUAAAAAAACACAAGUUAAAAAUAAAGAUAUUUGUUUUUAUUCUUCAUUAGAAGGAUUUGAAAAUUUAUAUGAAGGUGUGUUAGAAGAUUAUAGUUUAACUGAUUAUGAUACUUUUACAAUUCCAUUAAAUAAAUCAAGUAAAACUAAUAAAGUAGAAAAAGAAAAUAGACAUGUACAUGUACAGGUAAACAAUAAUAAAAAUCAUUAUAAAAAAAUUAAUAAUAAUAAUGAUAAAAAUAAUUACUCUAAAGAUAAGGAAGAGGAUGAAAAUGAAGAAGAUGAUGAAAGUGGAGAAGAUGAUGAAAAUGAAGAUGAAGAAGAAAAAAAUAGUAAAGAGAUAGAUAAUGAAAAAUCUGAUUUAAAAAAAAAAAAAAACAAUAUAACAGAAGAUUCUUAUCUGGAAAUUAGUUCAAACGGAGAUAUACUACAAACAGAUAAAUAUGUAACACCUUCCCAUCUGCUAAAAAAAAAAAAAAAAAAAAAAAAAAAAAAUAAUAAUAAUAAUAAUAAUAAUAAUAAUAAUAAUAAUAAUAAUAAUAAUAGUGAUAGUAAUAAUUUUGAACCACCCUUUUUUAAUUUAUUAGACCAACAUAUGGAUUAUGAAAAAGCUGAAAAUAAUGAUGAUAUGUACUAUUCUUUUUUGAGUAGUGAUAAAAAAAAAAACACUAUACACAAAAAACUUAAGAUUAGUAUUAAUACAUAUAAAGACUAUUUGAAACAAAAAUUAAAUAAAUGCGAUUUAUCUGAUAGUGGCGAAUCUACUAUUUAUAUAAAAUUAAUUUUACAAAUUGUACGAAACGAAAAUGAAAUAUAUAUUGAUCCAAAUAAAAAAAGUAUUAAAACAAAUGGUGGAACUGGUAGUAAUAUGUAUAAUGAUUUUGACAACAUAAGUAGUAAAAAAAAAAAAAAUUUGAAUUUUGAUGAAGAUGAGGAAGAAGAUGACAUGGAUGAAGAUGAUGAAGGUGAUGAUAGGCCUAAUAAUAAUAAUAAUAAUAAUAAUAGUAAUAAUAAUAAUAAUAAUAAUAGUAAUAAUAAUAAUAAUAGUAAUAAUAGUAAUAGUAAAGUAAAAGAUGCUGAAAGUACUUACAGUGGUAGUACUAACAACGAUAGUGCUUACAACAGCAGUAGUGAUAGUGAUAAAAAUACAUUUAAAGAAAUAGAACAACAUGAUUAUAACAAUCAAAACAACAGUGAUAUAACAGGUAUAUACAAUAAUAAUGGUACAGUAAAUAAUGAUACAGUAAAUAAUAAUUAUCAUUAUAAUGGACAGCCUAGUGACUUAGAAAACCCUCCAUACAAUAUGAACUACUAUAACACAAACAAAUAUAACGAAACAAAUCCUAAUAUAAACAGUUUCAUACCACCAACUAUCUACUACAAUAACAAUAAUAAUACAUCAACUAUGAAUUACAGUGAUAACAAUCCAUUAAGCAAAUACAAUUACCUCGAAUUACAAAACAUGACUAAACGUAGUACCAUAAAAAAUAACAAUGACAACAGUACAAUAACUAAUCUUCCAAACAAUAACAACAACUUAAGCAAUUCGAAUGUAAUAUAUAACAUACCAGUACAAAAAAAGAAUAUUCCUUUUAUGAAAAUAAAUUACAAGAAGAUAUGCAUGAAGAUAAUAUGGAAAACUAUUAUAAAUCGAAAAAAAGGUUUUUUUAGUUCGUUGUUUCAAAAAAUAUUUAAAAAAAAUAGUGAUGAUGAUGGUGAUGAAGAAAUGGGGGAAAAAAAAAAAGUUUUUUUAAUCGAUUAA